GACGAACGCUGGCGGCGUGCUUAACACAUGCAAGUCGAGCGAGGGGCUUCGGCUCCUAGCGGCGAACGGGUGAGUAACACGUGGGCAACCUGCCCCGAGCUCUGGAAUAACUUCGGGAAACCGGGGCUAAUGCCGGAUAUGACACUGCCGGGCAUCUGGUGGUGUGGAAAGAUUUAUCGGCUCGGGAUGGGCCCGCGGCCUAUCAGCUUGUUGGUGGGGUGAUGGCCUACCAAGGCGACGACGGGUAGCCGGCCUGAGAGGGCGACCGGCCACACUGGGACUGAGACACGGCCCAGACUCCUACGGGAGGCAGCAGUGGGGAAUAUUGCGCAAUGGGCGAAAGCCUGACGCAGCGACGCCGCGUGGGGGAUGACGGCC
RNAcentral lists this ribosomal RNA (378 nucleotides) under Frankia sp. RNAcentral's name for it is "bacterial SSU rRNA". It matches the Rfam family "Bacterial small subunit ribosomal RNA", at positions 28 to 416 of the family's 1533-position model. Lineage: Bacteria; Bacillati; Actinomycetota; Actinomycetes; Frankiales; Frankiaceae. The record is from RNAcentral.